AUUGAACGCUGGCGGCAUGCUUUAUACAUGCAAGUCGAACGGCAACACCUGUGCUUGCACCUGGUGACUAGUGGCGAACGGGUGAGUAAUGCAUUGGAACGUACCCCGUAAUGGGGGAUAACUUGCCGAAAGGCAAGCUAAUACCCCAUACUCUCUUAUGAUGAAAGCGGGGGAUCUUCGGACCUCUCGUUAUCCGAGCGGACAAUGUCUGAUUACCUAGUUGGUGGGGUAAAAGCCUACCAUGGCCACGAUCAUUACCGGGUCUGAGACGAUGAUCCGCCACACUGGGACUGAGACACAGACCAGACUCCUACUGCAGGCAGCAGUGGGGAAUUUUGAACAAUGGGCGCGAGCCUGAUCCAGCCAUGCCGCGUGUCUGAAGAAGGCCUUCGGCUUGUAAAGGACUUUUGUACUGGAAGAAAAAGAUGUGACUAAUACCCAUGACUGAUGACAGUACCGUAAUAAUAACCACCGGCUAACUACGUGCCAACAGCCGCGGUAAUACGUAUGGUGCGAGCGUUAAUCGAAAUUACUGGGCGUAAAGCGGGCGCAUACGGUUAUUUAACCAGGAUGUGAAAUCCCUGGGCUCAACCUGGGAACUGCGUUCUGAACUGGAUAGCUAGAGUGUGUCAGAGGGGGGUAGAAUUCCACGUGUAGCAGUGAAAUGCGUAGAGAUGUGGAGGAAUACCGAUGGCGAAGGCAGCCCCCUGGGAUAACACUGACGUUCAUGCCCGAAAGCGUGGGUAGCAAACAGGAUUAGAUACCCUGGUAGUCCACGCCCUAAACGAUGUCAAUUAGCUGUUGGGGCACUUGAUGCCUUAGUAGCGUAGAUAACGCGCGAAAUUGACCGCCUGGGGAGUACGGUCGCAAGAUUAAAACUCUCAGGAAUUGACGGGGACCCGCACAAGCGGUGGAUGAUGUGGAUUAAUUCUAUGCAACGCGAAGAACCUUACCUGGUCUUGACACGUACGGAAGGUCUUAGAGAUAAGACUGUGCUUUCGGGAACCGUAACCCAGGUGCUGCAUGGCGGUGUUCAGCUCGUGUCGUGAGAUGUUGGGUUAAGUCCCGCAACGAGCGCAACCCUUGUCAUCAGUUGCCAUCAUUAAGUUGGGCACUCUGAUGAGACUGCCGGUGACAAACCGGAGGAAGGUGGGGAUGACGUCAAGUCCUCAUGGCCCUUAUGACCAGGGCUUCACACGUCAUACAAUGGUCGGUACAGAGGGUAGCCAAGCCGCGAGGCGGAGCCAAUCCCAGAAAACCGAUCGUAGUCCGGAUUGCACUCUGCAACUCGAGUGCAUGAAGUCGGAAUCGCUAGUAAUCGCAGGUCAGCAUACUGCGGUGAAUACGUUCCCGGGUCU
This 1358-nucleotide ribosomal RNA is filed under the name uncultured bacterium. Its description in RNAcentral is "bacterial SSU rRNA". It matches the Rfam family "Bacterial small subunit ribosomal RNA", at positions 28 to 1381 of the family's 1533-position model. The record is from RNAcentral.